Molecule: unclassified non-coding RNA, 117 nt
Organism: Papio anubis (olive baboon)
Lineage: Eukaryota; Metazoa; Chordata; Mammalia; Primates; Cercopithecidae
Rfam family: Metazoan signal recognition particle RNA
About the family: The signal recognition particle (SRP) is a universally conserved ribonucleoprotein.
Source: Ensembl
GCCGGGUGUGGUGGCUCACGCCUGUAAUCCCAGCACUUUGGGAGGCCGAGGCGGGUGGAUCACUUGAGGUCAGGAGUUUGAGACCAGCCUGACCAACAUAGUAAAACCCCGUCUCUA